Molecule: transfer RNA, 73 nt
Filed under: Microcaldota archaeon
Lineage: Archaea; Nanobdellati; Microcaldota
Description: Candidatus Micrarchaeota archaeon (hot springs metagenome) tRNA-Asp
Rfam family: tRNA
About the family: Transfer RNA (tRNA) molecules are approximately 80 nucleotides in length. Their secondary structure includes four short double-helical elements and three loops (D, anti-codon, and T loops). Further hydrogen bonds mediate the characteristic L-shaped molecular structure. tRNAs have two regions of fundamental functional importance: the anti-codon, which is responsible for specific mRNA codon recognition, and the 3' end, to which the tRNAs corresponding amino acid is attached (by aminoacyl-tRNA synthetases). tRNAs cope with the degeneracy of the genetic code in two manners: having more than one tRNA (with a specific anti-codon) for a particular amino acid; and 'wobble' base-pairing, i.e. permitting non-standard base-pairing at the 3rd anti-codon position.
Source: RNAcentral
GCCUUGGUAGUGUAGUGGUCUAGCAUUCAGGCCUGUCGAGCCUGCGACCCGGGUUCAAAUCCCGGCCAAGGCG